This 76-nucleotide transfer RNA is filed under the name Alphaproteobacteria bacterium. RNAcentral describes it as "tRNA-Glu". It matches the Rfam family "tRNA". Rfam says of the family: Transfer RNA (tRNA) molecules are approximately 80 nucleotides in length. The record is from RNAcentral. Lineage: Bacteria; Pseudomonadati; Pseudomonadota; Alphaproteobacteria. RNAcentral also lists the same sequence under 1 other name.
GUCCCCUUCGUCUAGUGGCCUAGGACUUCGCCCUCUCACGGCGGCAACAGGGGUUCGAAUCCCCUAGGGGACGCCA